AACUGAAAUAUAUUAUCAUGUACCACAUAAAUGGAACUGGAAAGUGGAGCCAUGCAUUGACAAAUUUUCAGACGUUGACUUUCUUGGAGAUAAUUCUACCGACUCAGAUGAAUCCAUACAAUAUUGGAGAGAAUUAUGAAACUUAAAGGUAACACAAUUUUGCUGAGCAAGAAUCCAAUUUUAAUAACACGGCGGGCCUCAACAUAUUUAAAUUGCAAAGACACACAUAACUAGUUUGGACAUUGGUAUCUUUUCUGAAGGGAAAGUGCAUCUAGUUGGAUGCGUUAAAAAGGUUGUCAAACCCAUUCCCAUUUGCAACGAGGAAAAACAAACUUAUUUGAAAAAAGAGUAUGCAAUUACCAAAAAGCUUCAGUGGCUGUUAUUAAAAUUCUUCAACUAUCGACAAUGGACAUGAUUGAUGAAGACUUUUAAACUAGGUAUAUUCUGAUAGGUACCUAUUUCCUUUAAUUUGUGUACUUAUUUUACCUAUGUUUCCCCCCACCACCCAUCAGAAAGUAAUUAGUU
Molecule: long non-coding RNA, 525 nt
Filed under: Acyrthosiphon pisum (pea aphid)
Lineage: Eukaryota; Metazoa; Arthropoda; Insecta; Hemiptera; Aphididae
Description: uncharacterized LOC100571387, transcript variant X2
Source: RNAcentral